This is a non-coding RNA of Myotis brandtii (Brandt's bat), 74 nucleotides long. The record is from Rfam. NCBI's taxonomy places the organism in Eukaryota, Metazoa, Chordata, Mammalia, Chiroptera, Vespertilionidae.
AUUCAGGGGAGGGGGUUCCUCAGCCUGGAUUGUGAGAGGGCACAGGCCAGGCCAAGGGACCCUACCAGUGCAUG